Molecule: long non-coding RNA, 536 nt
Filed under: Panax ginseng (ginseng)
Lineage: Eukaryota; Viridiplantae; Streptophyta; Magnoliopsida; Apiales; Araliaceae
Description: long non-coding RNA (PGIN_LNC003172)
Source: RNAcentral
CCAUGAAUUUUUUUUAAAAAUCCUAAAUUACAAACACAUUCAACUAAUCCAAGGAGUAACAAAUAGUAGCAGAUUACAAUUUACAAUUACAUACAACUAAUCCAAGCACAUUCAACUACUAGCAGAUUACAAGAACAUUCAACUGAUCCAACUUCCAAGCACAUUCAACUACUAGCAGAUUACAAGAACAUUCAACUGAUCCAACUUCCAAGCAAAUUCAAGAAAUUAACAUCCAUAUAAUGAGUACCAAGCACAUUCAACUACUAGCAGAUUACAAGAACAUUCAACUGAUCCAACUUCCAAGCACAUUCAACUACUAGCAGAUUACAAGAACAUUCAACUGAUCCAACUUCCAAGCAAAUUCAAGAAAUUAACAUCCCUAUUAUGAGUACCAUACUACCUAUGUCCAUGAUUUCCUUGGUCUUACACAAUUACAAUCCAAAAUUAAAACUUGACAUGAAAGAAAAGAGUGACAAGAACUCAAAAUAACAGGAUAACAAAUAGCAUCAACAAAAACUCAGGAGUAACAGACUAGC